CACGUAGGCACCAAGCGUUGUCCGGAUUUAUUGGGCGUAAAGAGCUCGUAGGCGGUUCAGUAAGUCGGGUGUGAAAACUCUGGGCUCAACCCAGAGACGCCACCCGAUACUGCUGUGACUUGGGUACGGUAGGGGAGUGGGGAAUUCCUGGUGUAGCGGUGAAAUGCGCAGAUAUCAGGAGGAACACCAGUGGCGAAGGCGCCACUCUGGGCCGUAACUGACGCUGAGGAGCGAAAGCGUGGGUAGCAAACAGG
RNAcentral lists this ribosomal RNA (254 nucleotides) under uncultured bacterium. RNAcentral's name for it is "partial 16S ribosomal RNA". It matches the Rfam family "Bacterial small subunit ribosomal RNA", at positions 524 to 776 of the family's 1533-position model. The record is from RNAcentral.